ACACAUGCAAGUCGAACGGAAGCAAAGAUUUCGGUUUUUGCUUUAGUGGCGAACGGGUGAGUAACGCGUGAGGAACCUGCCUUUCAGUGGGGGACAACAGUUGGAAACGACUGCUAAUACCGCAUAAUGCUUUUGAGUGGCAUCACUUAAAAGCCAAAGAUUUAUUGCUGAAAGAUGGCCUCGCGUCUGAUUAGCUAGUUGGCGGGGUAACGGCCCACCAAGGCGACGAUCAGUAGCCGGUCUGAGAGGAUGAACGGCCACAUUGGGACUGAGAUACGGCCCAGACUCCUACGGGAGGCAGCAGUGGGGAAUAUUGGGCAAUGGGGGAAACCCUGACCCAGCAACGCCGCGUGAAGGAAGAAGGCCUUCGGGUUGUAAACUUCUUUUACCAGGGGCGAAAGAAAUGACGGUACCUGGAGAAAAAGCAACGGCUAACUACGUGCCAGCAGCCGCGGUAAUACGUAGGUUGCGAGCGUUGUCCGGAUUUACUGGGUGUAAAGGGCGUGUAGGCGGAGAUGCAAGUUGGGAGUGAAAUCCAUGGGCCCAACCCAUGAACUGCUUCCAAAACUGUAUCCCUUGAGUAUCGGAGAGGCAAGCGGAAUUCCUAGUGUAGCGGUGAAAUGCGUAGAUAUUAGGAGGAACACCAGUGGCGAAGGCGGCUUGCUGGACGACAACUGACGCUGAGGCGCGAAAGCGUGGGGAGCAAACAGGAUUAGAUACCCUGGUAGUCCACGCUGUAAACGAUGAAUACUAGGUGUGGGAGGACUGACCCCUUCCGUGCCGCAGUUAACACAAUAAGUAUUCCACCUGGGGAGUACGACCGCAAGGUUGAAACUC
RNAcentral lists this ribosomal RNA (837 nucleotides) under uncultured bacterium. RNAcentral's name for it is "bacterial SSU rRNA". It matches the Rfam family "Bacterial small subunit ribosomal RNA", at positions 51 to 902 of the family's 1533-position model. The record is from RNAcentral.